This 253-nucleotide ribosomal RNA is filed under the name uncultured bacterium. RNAcentral describes it as "partial 16S ribosomal RNA". It matches the Rfam family "Bacterial small subunit ribosomal RNA", at positions 524 to 776 of the family's 1533-position model. The record is from RNAcentral.
UACGUAGGGGGCUAGCGUUGUCCGGAAUCAUUGGGCGUAAAGGGCGCGUAGGUGGCGGGACAAGCGUGCGGUGAAAGCUCGGGGCUCAACCCCGAGUCGGCCGUGCGAACUGUCUUGCUUGAGCACUGUAGAGGCAGGCGGAAUUCCGGGUGUAGCGGUGGAAUGCGUAGAGAUCCGGAAGAACACCGGUGGCGAAGGCGGCCUGCUGGGCAGUUGCUGACACUGAGGCGCGACAGCGUGGGGAGCAAACAGG